Non-coding RNA from Phaseolus vulgaris (common bean), 119 nucleotides. Lineage: Eukaryota; Viridiplantae; Streptophyta; Magnoliopsida; Fabales; Fabaceae. The record is from Rfam.
AGGUGGGAUCAUACCAAUACUAUUGCACUGGAUCCCAUCAGAACUCCGCAGGCAAGUGUGCUUGGGAGAGAGUAGUACUAGGAUGGGUGACCUCCUGGGAAGUCCUCGUGUUGCACUUC